UCUCUUAAGGAUCGACGACAUCUGAGGGAGGCUCGGAAGGACCGACAUUAGCACUAGAAGAGGAAAGGGUGACAGUAAGAACUGGCUCGACGGCAUUCUCCUUCUUGGGACAAGAGACCUCAGGGGCCGAAGUCUCUUCAUCCUCUUCCUCCUCAUAAUCCAAAAAAGCAAGAUCUAUGUUUGGAUACUCUUCCUUGAUCAGCUUCCGACAGUCAAUCCACCCCUCUUUGUGAGCCCCAUGAUAAAUUUUUCUACUGAACACCAUGUGGCUUUUAUGAUACUCUUGCAAUGCCUUGAAGGCUCCAACUGCUUGAACCUUCUCCUUGGCAAAGGCGAAUGAUGCCUUGUACUCCUCCAUAGCAUAGCGCUUGUUCUCCCGAACGCACUCUUCAACUUUUUUCAGUCUCUUUCUCUCUCUUCUGUGGAAGAGCAAGAUCGGCUUCUGCCUUCUUGAGAGCCUUCUAGAGGUGCUUGAUGUCAAUUUCUAGUUUUUUCACCUUCAUCUGAGCGGCUAGAGCAUCCUCUUUGUCCUUUGUUUCAGCCUCUCGUACCUUCUUUUCGGCCUCCCGUGCCCCUGCUUCCCUAGCUGAACGAUCUGCUAAGUUGACGAGGACAUGAAGAAGUUGCAUCCAAACAAGUUAAGUAAAAGAAAUGAGAUUUAAGAAAGAGAAGCGAAUAGUUAGAGUAAUACCUAAUGUCCAACCGUCAGAGAUAGCCUCUUAAGGCCAGAGGCACUCAUUUUUUCG
RNAcentral lists this long non-coding RNA (746 nucleotides) under Elaeis guineensis (African oil palm). RNAcentral's name for it is "long non-coding RNA (EGUI_LNC045585)". Lineage: Eukaryota; Viridiplantae; Streptophyta; Magnoliopsida; Arecales; Arecaceae. The record is from RNAcentral.